GACGAACGCUGGCGGCGUGCUUAACACAUGCAAGUCGAACGAUGAAGCUAGAGCUUGCUCUGGUGAAUUAGUGGCGAACGGGUGAGUAACACGUGAGUAACCUGCCCCGAACUCUGGGAUAACUGCUGGAAACGGUAGCUAAUACUGGAUACGACCUACGAAGGCAUCUUCUGUAGGUGGAAAGAAUUUCGGUUCGGGAUGGACUCGCGGCCUAUCAGCUUGUUGGUGAGGUAAUGGCUCACCAAGGCGACGACGGGUAGCCGGCCUGAGAGGGUGACCGGCCACACUGGGACUGAGACACGGCCCAGACUCCUACAGGAGGCAGCAGUGGGGAAUAUUGCACAAUGGGCGCAAGCCUGAUGCAGCAACGCCGCGUGAGGGAUGACGGCCUUCGGGUUGUAAACCUCUUUUAGUAGGGAAGAAGCGAGAGUGACGGUACCUGCAGAAAAAGCACCGGCUAACUACGUGCCAGCCGCCGCCGUAA
This 484-nucleotide ribosomal RNA is filed under the name uncultured bacterium. Its description in RNAcentral is "partial 16S ribosomal RNA". It matches the Rfam family "Bacterial small subunit ribosomal RNA", at positions 28 to 523 of the family's 1533-position model. The record is from RNAcentral.